Sciurus vulgaris (Eurasian red squirrel) is the source of this 105-nucleotide small nuclear RNA. Lineage: Eukaryota; Metazoa; Chordata; Mammalia; Rodentia; Sciuridae. The record is from Ensembl.
AUGCUUACUUUAAUCUUUUAUACUAAAAUUGGGACAAUAGAGAAAAAAUGAGCCCGGCCUCUGCACAAGGAUGACCCACGAAUUUGUGAAGCAGUCUAUAUAUUU